UACCACUCCAGUGUUACAAAAAUCUUAGCACCUGCAAUGCUCAGGAAAAGAAAGCAGCAGGGAUAAUAAGCCACAGGAGCCAGAAUACCAUGGUUCUAAACCGUUUCAUGAUAAAUCUGAUGCAUCAAAUUGUCACUUAUUGGAGGAGACCAUCUGUGCUUCAGUGUUGGCAUUCUUCAUCGCAGACUAAUAAAUGUGUCAUAUUCAUAACUA
Long non-coding RNA from Panthera uncia (snow leopard), 213 nucleotides. RefSeq lists it as uncharacterized. Lineage: Eukaryota; Metazoa; Chordata; Mammalia; Carnivora; Felidae. The transcript has 2 exons. The record is from RefSeq and is a predicted model, not a curated record.